AUUGAACGCUGGCGGCAGGCCUAACACAUGCAAGUCGAGCGGAUGAAGGGAGCUUGCUCCUGGAUUCAGCGGCGGACGGGUGAGUAAUGCCUAGGAAUCUGCCUGGUAGUGGGGGAUAACGUCCGGAAACGGGCGCUAAUACCGCAUACGUCCUGAGGGAGAAAGUGGGGGAUCUUCGGACCUCACGCUAUCAGAUGAGCCUAGGUCGGAUUAGAUAGGUGGUGGGGUAAAGGCCUACCAAGGCGACGAUCCGUAACUGGUCUGAAAGGAUGAUCAGUCACACGGGAACUGAGACACGGUCCAGACUACUACGGGAGGCAGCAGUGGGGAAUAUUGGACAAUGGGCGAAAGCAUGAUGCAGCCAGGCCGCGCGUGUGACGAAGGUCUUCGGAUUGUAAAGACCGUUAAGUUGGGAGGAAGGGCAGUAAGUUGAUACCUUGCUGUUUUGACGGUACCAACAGAAUAAGCACCGGCUAACUUCGUG
RNAcentral lists this ribosomal RNA (484 nucleotides) under uncultured bacterium. Its description in RNAcentral is "partial 16S ribosomal RNA". It matches the Rfam family "Bacterial small subunit ribosomal RNA", at positions 30 to 507 of the family's 1533-position model. The record is from RNAcentral.